CGCUUGCAGCAUGGUGAGUGCAUCGCUGAGCUGCCGGCGCUGGGCCUGUGGGGGGAAGAGACUGGAGCGAACUGACUAAAGAAAGGAAACUCGCCUCCCUUACACCUUCAAGGAGUGGUUUCUGCCAGAGGGAUGGCGCGAAAGAGGCCAGGGAUGCCCGCGACGGUUGUGUCGCAGGUGCUCCCCCACCCCCAUUCUCGUCAGGGGGGCUUCCUCUAGUUAGCUUUGUACAUAGCAUCUCACUUUGCACAACAACCCUGCAAGGCUGACCAACUGACUGAAGAGCAGAUUGCAGAAUUCAAAGAAGCUUUUUCACUAUUUGACAAAGAUGGUGAUGGAACUAUAACAACAAAGGAAUUGGGAACUGUAAUGAGAUCUCUUGGGCAGAAUCCCACAGAAGCAGAGUUACAGGACAUGAUUAAUGAAGUAGAUGCUGAUGGUAAUGGCACAAUUGACUUCCCUGAAUUUCUGACAAUGAUGGCAAGAAAAAUGAAAGACACAGACAGUGAAGAAGAAAUUAGAGAAGCAUUCCGUGUGUUUGAUAAGGAUGGCAAUGGCUAUAUUAGUGCUGCAGAACUUCGCCAUGUGAUGACAAACCUUGGAGAGAAGUUAACAGAUGAAGAAGUUGAUGAAAUGAUCAGGGAAGCAGAUAUUGAUGGUGAUGGUCAAGUAAACUAUGAAG
Molecule: small RNA, 682 nt
Filed under: Pan troglodytes (chimpanzee)
Lineage: Eukaryota; Metazoa; Chordata; Mammalia; Primates; Hominidae
Description: processed transcript
Source: RNAcentral